CCCAGCGGGGGUUGGGGCGAGGCCGGGAGCUGUAGAGGCGGGGCCGGGACCUGCGCCAGGAUCGAGCACCAGGAGAGGGUCUCCCUGCUGACGGCUCCAAAUAUCCAGUUGAAAUUAAUGGGAGAAAUCGAGGUGGAAGCUAGCAAAGAACAACUAAUUGAAGACAGGCACUACUGGGAAGUGUACAGAUAUCCAUGGUUCACGGACUUUGGUUCAGUCAUAAUGCUAACCUGACAUAUGUCAAUUUGCAGAAAAUUUCCCAAUUGGUGUCUGAGGAAGCGAGGAAAGGAGGCAACUGUCUAUGAAAUAACGUUGUGAGUUGGAUUGCUGUGAAUCUUCAUCUCUUGUGCUGCUGCUGUUGUAUAUACACAUCACUAUGCAAACAAGUGAAAUUACACUUGUUUGUGUAAUUUCUUGAUUAUUUGUAUUUCUCUUGAUAGAAGAGAAAGCAAAAAAAAAAGGCCUCUGGUGUAACAAUUUAGAGAAAAUAAAUGACAAGCAAGAAAACCAUAUUGUGUCUUAAAAGUGAUAUUUUCCUGUUAUAAAGCUCCAAUAUUAAUUAUAUAGCAGGCAUGAGAAGGGAAAAAAGGGAUGAUGGAAAAUCAGAAGUGCCUGAAAAUCAGGGUCACUUGGGAGGCUUUUGUGAUUUCCCGUAAUGUGACAUAAACCACCUAUUGUGUUUUUGU
Long non-coding RNA from Pseudopipra pipra, 686 nucleotides. RefSeq lists it as uncharacterized. The transcript is spliced from 3 exons. Lineage: Eukaryota; Metazoa; Chordata; Aves; Passeriformes; Pipridae. The record is from RefSeq and is a predicted model, not a curated record.